RNAcentral lists this ribosomal RNA (380 nucleotides) under uncultured bacterium. RNAcentral's name for it is "bacterial SSU rRNA". It matches the Rfam family "Bacterial small subunit ribosomal RNA", at positions 111 to 507 of the family's 1533-position model. The record is from RNAcentral.
UAACGCGUGAGUAACCUGCCCUGGAGUGGGGGACAACAGUUGGAAACGACUGCUAAUACCGCAUAAGCCCACGAUCCGGCAUCGGAUUGAGGGAAAAGGAUUUAUUCGCUUCAGGAUGGACUCGCGUCCAAUUAGCUAGUUGGUGAGGUAACGGCCCACCAAGGCGACGAUUGGUAGCCGGACUGAGAGGUUGAACGGCCACAUUGGGACUGAGACACGGCCCAGACUCCUACGGGAGGCAGCAGUGGGGGAUAUUGCACAAUGGGGGAAACCCUGAUGCAGCGACGCCGCGUGGAGGAAGAAGGUUUUCGGAUUGUAAACUCCUGUCGUUAGGGACGAUAAUGACGGUACCUAACAAGAAAGCACCGGCUAACUACGUG